UCCUCAACAAUUCCCACUCAGAUUGUUUGCAAUACUGAAGGCAGAUAAUGGCUUUGAUUAAGUCAUAGUCUUCAUAUCCUAAUUGCAUUUCCUUGUUGCCAGAACCAAGAAUUUCAAGGUUGGCAUAUCUGACUCUCAGCAGAAAGGUUGGAGGUAAGUAGAGGUUUACCAUUUUCCUCAAAAAAGGUAGAUGUUAGCCAUGUCUUUUAUCUAUUAAAGCUUCUGCCACGAAC
RNAcentral lists this long non-coding RNA (233 nucleotides) under Elaeis guineensis (African oil palm). Its description in RNAcentral is "long non-coding RNA (EGUI_LNC045267)". Lineage: Eukaryota; Viridiplantae; Streptophyta; Magnoliopsida; Arecales; Arecaceae. The record is from RNAcentral.